Molecule: transfer RNA, 74 nt
Filed under: Scinax sp. KAV13
Lineage: Eukaryota; Metazoa; Chordata; Amphibia; Anura; Hylidae
Description: tRNA-Leu
Rfam family: tRNA
About the family: Transfer RNA (tRNA) molecules are approximately 80 nucleotides in length. Their secondary structure includes four short double-helical elements and three loops (D, anti-codon, and T loops). Further hydrogen bonds mediate the characteristic L-shaped molecular structure. tRNAs have two regions of fundamental functional importance: the anti-codon, which is responsible for specific mRNA codon recognition, and the 3' end, to which the tRNAs corresponding amino acid is attached (by aminoacyl-tRNA synthetases). tRNAs cope with the degeneracy of the genetic code in two manners: having more than one tRNA (with a specific anti-codon) for a particular amino acid; and 'wobble' base-pairing, i.e. permitting non-standard base-pairing at the 3rd anti-codon position.
Source: RNAcentral
AGUUAACGUAGCAAAGCCCGGUAUUGCUAAAGACCUAAACCCUUUUCACAGAGGUUCAAACCCUCUCGUUAACU